This 446-nucleotide ribosomal RNA is filed under the name Melaphis rhois (sumac gall aphid). RNAcentral's name for it is "partial 12S small subunit ribosomal RNA". Lineage: Eukaryota; Metazoa; Arthropoda; Insecta; Hemiptera; Aphididae. The record is from RNAcentral.
AGAUACCCUAUUAUAAAAAUUUAAAAUUUAUUACUGAAAAAUUAAUAGUUAAGUUCUUUAAAUUUAAAAAAUUUGGCGGUAUUUUAGUCUUAUUAGAGGAACCUGUUUUAUAAUUGAUAAUCCACGAUUUAUUUUACUUAAUUUUUAAAUUCAUAUAUCGCUGUCAUGAAUAUAUUUAAAAAUUUAUUUUCUUNAUUAAUUUAAUAANNNAUGUUAAGUCAAGAUGUGGUUAAUAAUUAAGGAAGUAAUGGGUUACAAUGAAUUUAAUUUUUGAAUUCUAUUAUGUAAAAUUUAGAUGAAAUUGAAUUUAAUAGUAAAUUUAUUAAUUUUUUUAAUAUGAAUAUAGAUCUAAAAUAUGUACAUAUUGCCCGUCAUUCUUAUAAAAAAUAAGACAAGUCGUAACAAAGUAAAUGUACUGGAAAGUGUAUUUAGAAAGAAUUUAUAAA